UAUGCAAAUACCCAACUUGACUCAGCUUGAUUGCAGACCCUCAUUGAGAUAAUAUACAUAUCUGUCCGCAUUUCGAUUGUCUAUUCCAAAGAAUCAACUAUGCUACGCCAAUAAACAACUUCUUAGCCUCAAAGCCAUAUAUAAAGACUUAAAAAAAUAAUUAAAAAAAAAAGCCCACAAACACACAAGUAGCAAAAUAAACCGUGAUAUAAUACGUGCAAACACAUAAUCUGGUACAGUUUUUAUUUUUUUGGGGUAUAUAAUCUGCGCUCUGAAUUGCACAAAAAACAAAAUCACAUUUUUAUGGUAGCCUUUCUGUGGAAAUACCUAAAAUCAAGUUUUCGUCCAUAAGUUACCGGAAUUAUCAUAGAUUCAAAAAUAAUAGAAUCUUACGCCCUUUUCUUUGUGUGUUUUUGCCUACACUAACACCACCAAUUAUUUGAUGGAAUGCAGACAAACCAAAUUCAAAUGAAACAAAUCAAAUGACAAUCAUUUACAAGCAAAAUGACUUCUCAAAAAAAAUUCAAUCAUGAGGGGGUGAAGAAAGAAAGGAACCUGAGUGGAAGUUCGUUGAUUUGAGAUGCUGAUGGGUUUGAGAGCGGACCAAAUGAAGCAGUGCAGUUCUUGCCAUUUCUAAAUUGAACCCUACCAAAAAAAAAAAAGGAGCAAAAAAAAAAA
Molecule: long non-coding RNA, 678 nt
Filed under: Coffea arabica (coffee)
Lineage: Eukaryota; Viridiplantae; Streptophyta; Magnoliopsida; Gentianales; Rubiaceae
Description: long non-coding RNA (CARA_LNC001557)
Source: RNAcentral